Molecule: unclassified non-coding RNA, 453 nt
Filed under: Hevea brasiliensis (rubber tree)
Lineage: Eukaryota; Viridiplantae; Streptophyta; Magnoliopsida; Malpighiales; Euphorbiaceae
Source: RNAcentral
UCCAGUUCAUCUGGAAAUGUGGCAAAUUACAUGGGUCAGAUGGCCAUGGCCAUGGGCAAGCUAGGGACCCUUGAGGGGUUCAUUCGCCAGGUAAUUGUUUGUAAUGCCACUCUGUGUACAUUUUUCAGUAAUAUGAAUAUGCAUCAGCUCUAAAAUCCAUUUUAGCAUUAAUAGUUUUAGCAAUUUUAAAUCUCUGGGAAUAAAAAUUAGCAUUCCCGGAUUGAUAUUUGAUUUAGGAACUUUAGGAUUUGAUAUUUGAACUUUAUAAAUGACUUAUCUUCCAGCAAUCUAGUUCGUAAGAUCUCACUAGUAUUCUAUACAAGCUGUAUGCGAAAUAUUGAAUAUCCUUGAAUAUGUUCCUUUCAUUGGGUCUUGUGUUUUCUCUUGCCUCUUUGUGUCUCAAAAGAAUCUGUUUUCUUUUGAUGGAUUUUAAACAUCAGGCUGACAAUUUGC